AUACUUACCUGGAUGGGGUCAAUGGGUGAUCAAGAAGGCCCAUGGCCUAGGCAAGUGACCUCCAUUGCACUUAGGAGGGGUGCUAGUCUAAGGUCUACCCAAGUGGUGGAGCCUACAUCAUAAUUUGUUGCAGCGGGGGCCUGCGUUCGCGCGGCCCCUUC
Molecule: small nuclear RNA, 161 nt
Filed under: Medicago truncatula (barrel medic)
Lineage: Eukaryota; Viridiplantae; Streptophyta; Magnoliopsida; Fabales; Fabaceae
Description: U1 spliceosomal RNA
Rfam family: U1 spliceosomal RNA
About the family: U1 is a small nuclear RNA (snRNA) component of the spliceosome (involved in pre-mRNA splicing). Its 5' end forms complementary base pairs with the 5' splice junction, thus defining the 5' donor site of an intron.
Source: Rfam by way of RNAcentral